RNAcentral lists this ribosomal RNA (490 nucleotides) under uncultured bacterium. RNAcentral's name for it is "partial 16S ribosomal RNA". It matches the Rfam family "Bacterial small subunit ribosomal RNA", at positions 30 to 507 of the family's 1533-position model. The record is from RNAcentral.
AUUGAACGCUGGCGGCAGGCCUAACACAUGCAAGUCGAACGGUAACAGGAAGAAGCUUGCUUCUUUGCUGACGAGUGGCGGACGGGUGAGUAAUGUCUGGGAAACUGCCUGAUGGAGGGGGAUAACUACUGGAAACGGUAGCUAAUACCGCAUAACGUCGCAAGACCAAAGAGGGGGACCUUCGGGCCUUUUGCCAUCGGAUGUGCCCAGAUGGGAUUAGCUAGAAGGUGGGGUAACGGCUCACCUAGGCGACGAUCCCUAGCUGGUCUGAGAGGAUGACCAGCCACACUGGAACUGAGACACGGUCCAGACUCCUACGGGAGGCAGCAGUGGGGAAUAUUGCACAAUGGGCGCAAGCCUGAUGCAGCCAUGCCGCGUGUAUGAAGAAGGCCUUCGGGUUGUAAAGUACUUUCAGCGGGGAGGAAGGGAGUAAAGUUAAUACCUUUGCUCAUUGACGUUACCCGCAGAAGAAGCACCGGCUAACUCCGUG